This is a non-coding RNA of Triticum aestivum (bread wheat), 124 nucleotides long. Lineage: Eukaryota; Viridiplantae; Streptophyta; Magnoliopsida; Poales; Poaceae. The record is from Rfam.
UAAGUACCCCUUUGUCCGGAAAUACUUGUCGGAGGAAUGGAUGUAUCUAGACGUAUUUUAGUUCUAGAUAUAUCCAUUUUUAUGCAUUUCUCCGACAAGUAUUUCCGGACGGAGGGAGUAACUA